GGAGCGCGAAGGUCGAACGGAUGGGAAGGGAUUCAACUUGGCGUAGUACGCUGGUCGAGUCGCGUGAGAAGGCUACCCUCUCCUCUUCGGAGGUCUGCUGGUUCGGUCGGCUCUGCGCUUCUCGUACUCGGUAGUCUACUAUGCCUUGUGCAUUUCCCUAAUUCCCCUCUCCUAGUAGGACGCCGCGACCGGCUGUCGAGGGGAGCCCAGGAGCUGGUUAGAGCAGUUGCGCGGACGAGUAAGGGAUUCGUUCUCUGCGUCUGGUCUGUCUGUCUCUUUCCAAAUCGGCGGGUUUGCUUCCUCCGGCCGAGGAACUGUGCGAGCUGGGUUUCUUUUUAAGAAAUCCCUCGUCCAUGAACGCGCCCAUGAUCUGUCGGAGCGGGUCGAUAAAACCCCACGGGUGGCUGCGAAGUUUGCAUGCGCCAGUCCUAGUUGAUUGCGCGUAUGUAGCUUUUGCGUCAGCCGCCGUCGGACAGGGUGUGGACUCCCGCUAAGGGGUGCUGGGGGUCAGCGGCGAGUAGGUCGGUUUCCCACCCGACCCGUCUUGAAACACGGACCAAGAAGUCUAACGUGUGGGCGAGUCUUUGGGGCAAAUAAUAACCCUAUAAAGGCGAAAUUAAAGUGAAGAAUUUUUUAUUAAAUUCUGGGUGGGAUCCGUCGUCUAAAGGCGAUGGCGCACCACCGGCCCGUCCAACGAUCGCAUUGCCGGUCGGGCGGAGCAAGAGCCCACACGUUGGGACCCGAAAGAUGGUGAACUAUGCCUGGGCAGGACGAGGCCAGAGGAAACUCUGGGUGGAAGUCCGCAGCGGUUCUGACGUGCAAAUCGAUCGUCGGACCUGGGUAUAGGGGCGAAAGACUAAUCGAA
RNAcentral lists this ribosomal RNA (865 nucleotides) under Polydesmida sp. NZAC03013490. RNAcentral describes it as "eukaryotic LSU rRNA". It matches the Rfam family "Eukaryotic large subunit ribosomal RNA", at positions 386 to 939 of the family's 3401-position model. Lineage: Eukaryota; Metazoa; Arthropoda; Diplopoda; Polydesmida. The record is from RNAcentral.